Molecule: ribosomal RNA, 253 nt
Filed under: uncultured bacterium
Lineage: Bacteria
Description: partial 16S ribosomal RNA
Rfam family: Bacterial small subunit ribosomal RNA
Source: RNAcentral
UACGUAGGGUGCAAGCGUUAAUCGGAAUUACUGGGCGUAAAGCGUGCGUAGGCGGUUGCCCAAGUCGGGUGUGAAAGCCUUGAGCUCAACUCAAGAAAUGCACUCGGUACUGGGUGACUAGAGGACCGGAGAGGAUAGUGGAAUUCCCAGUGUAGUGGUGAAAUACGUAGAGAUCGGGAGGAACAUCCGUGGCGAAGGCGGCCAUCUGGAUCAACACUGACGCUGAGGCACGAAAGCGUGGGGAGCAAACAGG